GGACCCGUAGCGCAGCUUGGAUAGCGCAAACACGUAAAACUGGCGUAACAGCCUUCUAAGCUGUGGGUCGUGGGUUCAAAUCCCACCGGGUCCG
RNAcentral lists this transfer RNA (94 nucleotides) under Candidatus Woesearchaeota archaeon. RNAcentral describes it as "tRNA-Arg". It matches the Rfam family "tRNA". Rfam says of the family: Transfer RNA (tRNA) molecules are approximately 80 nucleotides in length. The record is from RNAcentral. Lineage: Archaea; Nanobdellati; Candidatus Woesearchaeota.